AGAUUGAACGCUGGCGGCAUGCCUAACACAUGCAAGUCGAACGGGAGUAGCAAUACUCUAGUGGCGGACGGGUGAGGAAUACGUAGGAAUUUGCCCUUAAGUGGGGGAUAACCCGGGGAAACCCGGAUUAAUACCGCAUGACCUCGAAAGAGCAAAGUGGGGGAUCGCAAGACCUCACGCUUUUGGAGAAGCCUACGUCGGAUUAGCUAGUUGGUGAGGUAAUGGCUCACCAAGGCGACGAUCCGUAACUGGUCUGAGAGGAUGAUCAGUCACACCGGAACUGAGACACGGUCCGGACUCCUACGGGAGGCAGCAGUGGGGAAUAUUGGACAAUGGGCGCAAGGCCUGAUCCAGCAAUGCCGCGUGUGUGAAGAAGGCCUUCGGUUGUAAAGCAACUUUAAGUUAGGGAAAGAAAAAACGUACGACUACUAACACAAGUGAGUCGUUAGACGUACCGACAGAAUAAGACACCGGACUAACUCUGUCGCCAGCGAGCCCGCGGUAACUCGUGAGCGGCGUGGACG
Molecule: ribosomal RNA, 524 nt
Filed under: uncultured soil bacterium
Lineage: Bacteria
Description: bacterial SSU rRNA
Rfam family: Bacterial small subunit ribosomal RNA
Source: RNAcentral